GUCCCCUUAGUUAAAUGGAGAUAACGAGCCCCUCCUAAGGGCUAGUUGCAGGUUCGAUUCCUGCAGGGGACGCCA
RNAcentral lists this transfer RNA (75 nucleotides) under Klebsiella quasipneumoniae subsp. quasipneumoniae. Its description in RNAcentral is "tRNA-Arg". It matches the Rfam family "tRNA". From Rfam's summary of the family: Transfer RNA (tRNA) molecules are approximately 80 nucleotides in length. Their secondary structure includes four short double-helical elements and three loops (D, anti-codon, and T loops). Lineage: Bacteria; Pseudomonadati; Pseudomonadota; Gammaproteobacteria; Enterobacterales; Enterobacteriaceae. The record is from RNAcentral.